RNAcentral lists this long non-coding RNA (2344 nucleotides) under Sorghum bicolor (sorghum). RNAcentral's name for it is "long non-coding RNA (SBIC_LNC011123)". The record is from RNAcentral. Lineage: Eukaryota; Viridiplantae; Streptophyta; Magnoliopsida; Poales; Poaceae.
CGUGCAAAUUGAUUUCUAAACCUAUGGUAUGUUCCAUGGAAACCGUGCACCUAUCUUGUAACAAGAUUAGCAUUAUCUCCAAACAGAACGAACCGAGCUUUCACUUGAGCCUCUUCACUAGGAGUACUGUUGGUGCGUCCAAAAUGAUUUCUUAACCUAUGGUGCAUUAGACGCAAACCAUACAUCUAUCUUGCACCGAAACUAACACAACCUCCAAAUAAACCAAACCGAGAUUCCAUUUGACACAUGUCAUCUUGGAUUGUAUCGGGUGCGUCCAAAUUGAUGUCCGAGCAUAUGGUACGUUCUAUACAAACCGUGCACCUAUCUUGCAUCAAGAUUAGCACUAUCUCUAAAUGGACCAAACCGAGCUUCCACUUGAGCCUCUUCACCUAGGAGUACCAUUGGGUGUGUUCAAAAUGGUUUCUUAGCCUAUGGUGCAUUUGGCACAAAUCGUGCACCUAUCUUGCAUCGAAACUAAGACUAUCUCCACAAGGACCGAAGCGAGAUUCCAUAUGACACAGAUGGAGUUUUAUCGCGUGCGUCUAAAUUGAUUUCCUAGCAUAUGGUACGUUCCACGCAAACCGUGCACCUAUCUUGCUUCAAGAUUAGCACUAUCUCCGAACAGACCGAACCGAGCUUCCACUUGAGCCUCUUCACCUAGGAGUGCCAUCGGGUGCUUCUAAAAUUGUUUCUGAGUCUAUGGUGCAUUAGGCGCAAAACGUGCACAUAUCUUGUGCCAAAAUUAACACUAUCUCCAAACAAACCAAAGCGAGAUUCCAUAUGACACACAUCAUCUAGGAGUUCCAUCGGGUGCAUUCAAAUUGAUUUCUGAGCCUAUGAUAUGUUCCACACAAACUAUACACCUAUCUUACAUCAAGAUUAACACUAUCUCCAAACAAACCAAAACGUGCUUCCACUUGAGAUUCUUCACCUAUCAGUACCGUCUGAUGCGUCCAAAAUGAUUUCUUAGCCUAUGGUGCAUUAGGCACAAACCAUGUACCUAUCUUGCACUGAAAGUGACAUUAUCUCCAAACGGACCGAAGCAAGAUUCCAUAUGACACACGUCUUCGAGGAGUUGUAUUAGGUCAAUCCAAAUUGAUUUCUAAGCAUAUGGUACGUUCUAUACAAAUCAUGCACCUAUCUUGCAUCAAGAUUAUCACUAUCUCCAAAUGGACCAAACCGAGCUUCCACUUGAGCCUCUUCACCUAGGAGUACCAUUGGGUGCGUCCAAAAUGGUUUCUGAGACUAUGCCUCAUUCGGCCCAAACUGUGGACUAAUGUUACACUAAAACAAAUACUGUCUCCAAAUAGACCAAAGCGAGAGUCCAUAUGAGACAUGCCAUUAUAACACUUCAAAAUUUUUAAUUUUGGAUUGUUAUUAGAAAACACUAAAUUAAAUAAGGAUUUAAAAUUUUUCUAAAAUAUUCCAAGAUUUAUUUAAUUAUUGAAUUAAAAAAAAAGAGAGAAAAAAAUGUGGAAUUUUAAAAAAUUUUAUAAAAAUAAGUGAUGAGUGUUUUAUUUGUUAUGUGCUUUGUGCCCUAGCUUUGUUUAGCUUGUGUGUGAAAAAUGAAUUUGUAAAAUUUGGGCAAGCCAUGAUUAGGUCCUUCUCAAUUUAAAAAAAACAAUAAAAAAAACAAAAACAAUAAUAAUAGCGCUUCAAAAAAAAAACCUUAUUUGAAAACUAAUUCCAAUUCGAGUUGGAAACAAUUUGGAAAAUGUGUUUAAGCUAAAAUAUGUUUGUAUUUCAAAAUAGUCUAAAAACAAAUUUCAAAAUAGUCUAAAUGUAGUGAAUCAAAAUUUCGGUUUACAAUUUGUAUUGGAAAAUAUAUUCUAAAUCACCUUUUAUAUAUAUUUAUAUAUAUAUUUAUUUAUCUAAAAGAAUAAGAUUUUUCCCCCUCUCUCUUCCUGGCUUUUGGUCCAGCCCCAGCCUGCCCACCUCCUACCGCAGCGGCCCAACAGCCAGCAGCGCAGACGCGCUGGAGCCAGCCCGCACCGCAGCAGGCCGCGACCCAGCUCCACCCGUCCCCCUUGCACCCGCGCUGUGCCACCGACAGGCGGGGCCCACCCGUCAGGGGUCACCCCCAACCUCCUGCCCGAUUCGGACGGGAGAGUCCACCGCCGCUCCGCCUCGGCUUUCGAGCCGAGCGCGCCUUCCCAAGAUCCCCGCCCCCUAUAAAUAGCACCCUGCAGCCGCCGCGUGCCUCCCUAGGAACCCUAGUCGCCUCCAAACGCCGCCAAGAAGCCCUGGACCGAGCUUGAAGCCCCGCCGCUCCGUCCGCGGAUCCGGCCGUCGACGAGCUCGCCCCACCACUGCCUCGUCCGCCAAGGUGAGGCACUCUCUGAUC